GGUAGGAUCAUUAACAUUAAACGCAUUGUAUAACCCAAUACAAUGCGAUGUCCUCCUAUAUAAUCGAGUCACUAGUGAUUCAUCGCGAUAGCAGCACGCGAUGAACAGUUCCUAUGAGAACUAUACAUUGUCCUAGUCUUGUCCUUAGUGUCAUUAGUAAUUAAUAGAAAACAACUCUUAACAACGGAUAUCUUGGUUCAUGCAUCGAUGACGAGCGCAGUGAAAUGUGAUACUUAGUGUGAAUUGCGGAAUAAAGUGAAUCAUUAAGACCUUGAACGCAUAUUGCACCCUUGAAUUUACUCGAGGGUACGUCGGUUUGAGUGCGACCUAAUAAUAUAGACUAUACAUCGGUUAGUCUGACUUGAGAUUGUGGCUAAAGGAUGCUAGAGCGCUACUUUCUUUAAAAAAUCUUAAGAGGCGAGCGUAUUAGCAAUUACUAGUAAAAGGGGUUCAAUGCACUAGUAACUAGAUGGUCUAUUAGAUCGAUGAGAGUUAACGCUCGAGUCGACUCGAAUGAUACAUUAGUGACUACGUGUACACUCUCUUUGAAGCUUUUACGUGCGUCUUAUUAUCGAGAGAGAGAGGGGAUGUGUAUCGUGGUGAGCCAUAAUCGAUAUAGCAUCAUGGACUACUAGAGUCCCUUAUCUUUUCUCGCGUAUAAAGGGGGAUGUGUAUCGUGGUGAGCCAUAAUCGAUAUAGCAUCAUGGACUACUAGAGUCCCUCUUUAUACCCUAUUAUAAAGGGUAGUGUCAUUUAGGACUUCCUAAUGUCAUCCCUAUUCACUAAUGUCGCCUAUAAGAAUUAUUAAACAGUCGCCUCAAAUCAGACGGGAUUACUCGCUGAAUUUAAGCAUAUAAUUAAGCGAAGGAAAAGAAACCAACAGGGAUUCCCUUAGUAACGGCGAGUGAAGCGGGAAGAGCUCACGCUUAAAAUCUCGAUAGGGUAACGCCUAUAGAGAAUUGUAGUUUCGUAACCGGUAUUCACCGGGGAGGCUGUCGAGGCUUAAGUUCCCUGGAAAGGGACACCGUAGAAGGUGAGAGUCCUGUGAAGCCUUUAGACUAGUCUCUUCGAUCGUGUUACCGAUUUACAGAGUCGGAUUAUUUGAGAGUAUAGUCCUAAACGGGUGGUAAAUCCCAUCUAAAGCUAAAUAUUAGCAUGAAACCGAUAGCGAACAAGUACCGUGAGGGAAAGAUGCAAAGUACUUUGGAGAGAGAGUUAAAUAGGCCUUGAAAUUGUUAAGAGGGAAGCGAUAGCGACCUUAAUAUAUUUAACGAGUAAUUCACCGAGAGAGGGCACUCUCGUGUCGUGUAUCGAGAGCUACGGUCAACGUGGCCUCAAUGUAUGUGUGAGGGGGUUCUCUUAAGGGCAUUUUACUAGUUAAAGGGAUCAGUGUCUAUUAGAGGCGAUAGUAAAACGGUGUUGGGGUUGGAAUGAUAGGGUGCGCCUUAUCAGGAGGCUUGAUACAACGAUACGUUCGUUCUGAUUGAGGGGUUUAUGUAAACUACUACGAGUGCCAAGCGGGGGUAUCUAGUGAUAGAAGGGGGUCUUCGAUUGGUUAUACAGCACGCUGUAUAGCUGAACGGGGGUUCCCUCUAAUCGAUUAGUCCCACUCACUCGUUACGACACGUGAUGUGCAUUAAUUUAAGGUCUUUAUCGACCCGUCUUGAAACACGGACCAAGGAGUGUAACACGAGUGCAAGUGUUAUAGCGAUAUAAACUAUUACGCGAAAUGAAAGUGAAGCCUUUAAUGUGGGAAAGGGGUUUCAACGCUAACACGUUGUCCCUAGCACCAUAGACCGAUCUCGAGUAAAUUUAUUUAGACGGAUUUGAGUAAGAGCACGCUUGUUACGACCCGAAGAUAGUGAACUAUGCUUGUGUAGGGUGAAGCCAGGCGAAAGUCUGGUGGAGGCUCGUAGAGGUGCUGACGUGCAAAUCGCUCUCAGAAUAUGAGUAUAGCGGCGAAAGACUAAUCGAACUAUCUAGUAGCUGGUUCCUUC
Molecule: unclassified non-coding RNA, 1997 nt
Filed under: uncultured fungus
Lineage: Eukaryota; Fungi
Description: sequence contains 18S rRNA gene, ITS1, 5.8S rRNA gene, ITS2, 28S rRNA gene
Rfam family: Eukaryotic large subunit ribosomal RNA (bases 813-1997)
Source: RNAcentral